RNAcentral lists this ribosomal RNA (253 nucleotides) under uncultured bacterium. RNAcentral describes it as "partial 16S ribosomal RNA". It matches the Rfam family "Bacterial small subunit ribosomal RNA", at positions 524 to 776 of the family's 1533-position model. The record is from RNAcentral.
UACGUAGGGUGCAAGCGUUAUCCGGAAUUAUUGGGCGUAAAGCGCGUGUAGGUGGCCAAGUAGGUCCGCUGUGAAAACUUGAGGCUCAACCUCAAGCUGUCGGUGGAAACCCCUUGGCUAGAGUCCGGAAGAGGAGAGUGGAAUUCCUGGUGUAGCGGUGAAAUGCGCAGAUAUCAGGAAGAACACCAAUGGCGAAGGCAGCUCUCUGGGACGGUACUGACACUGAGACGCGAAAGCGUGGGGAGCGAACAGG